RNAcentral lists this ribosomal RNA (492 nucleotides) under uncultured bacterium. RNAcentral describes it as "partial 16S ribosomal RNA". It matches the Rfam family "Bacterial small subunit ribosomal RNA", at positions 29 to 507 of the family's 1533-position model. The record is from RNAcentral.
AGUGAACGCUGGCGGUAGGCCUAACACAUGCAAGUCGAACGGCAGCACAGUAAGAGCUUGCUCUUACGGGUGGCGAGUGGCGGACGGGUGAGGAAUACAUCGGAAUCUACUUUUUCGUGGGGGGUAACGUAGGGAAACUUACGCUAAUACCGCAUACGACCUACGGGUGAAAGCAGGGGAUCUUCGGACCUUGCGCGACUGAAUGAGCCGAUGUCGGAUUAGCUAGUUGGCGGGGUAAAGGCCCACCAAGGCGACGAUCCGUAGCUGGUCUGAGAGGAUGAUCAGCCACACUGGAACUGAGACACGGUCCAGACUCCUACGGGAGGCAGCAGUGGGGAAUAUUGGACAAUGGGCGCAAGCCUGAUCCAGCCAUACCGCGUGGGUGAAGAAGGCCUUCGGGUUGUAAAGCCCUUUUGUUGGGAAAGAAAAGCAGCAGGUUAAUACCCCGCUGUUCUGACGGUACCCAAAGAAUAAGCACCGGCUAACUUCGUG